AUGGGGGGUCGUCUCCCAGGAAGCCUUAGAGAAAGCCUACCUGUAACCUGUGAGAGGGACUCUUGGUGGCACAUGGGGCUGACACCCAGCAGGGUAGCAGAGGCACUGGGCUGGCAAGGACCUUUCAGAGCUGAGCUCCAGCCACCUGCGAGGGUGCCCUCCCUCACACGCAUCCCAGCAAGGAUACUCUGCUCUAAGGAGCCCCCGUGGGUCUGGAGCUGCCGCCGUUCCUUGGGAUCCAAGGGAUUAAUGUGGGCACGUGCAGAAAUGAGCAAGGCCGCCUAGCCUUCACAUGACUUAAAUAAUUUCAGUUUUAGCAGCUUCUCACCCUAUCACUUCCUCCUUUCCAGCCACCUAUGGGUGAGGGACUGGAAGCAGGAAAGCACCACUGUGCCCUUAAAGUUUUGUCCCUCCCAGAAACUGGGGGGUUGUGGGGGGCAGGUGCUAUGGUGGGUGGACUUGUCCCUUCAGGUCUUCAGACAUGGCUGUCCACUUCUUACUGUCCCCACAGCGAUUCUUGCAGACUCUUUUAUCCUGAGGAUCCUAUUAAGAUUGUCCGGGGCCAAGGACAGUACUUGUACGAUGAACAGGGUGCAGAAUACCUGGAUUGUGUCAACAAUGUGGCUCAUGUUGGGCACUGCCACCCUCUCGUGGUCCAAGCAGCGCACGAACAAAACCAGGUGCUGAACACCAACAGCCGGUACCUGCACGACAACAUCGUGGAUUAUGCACAGAGGCUAUCAGAGACCCUGCCGGAGAAGCUCUCUGUGUUUUAUUUCCUGAAUUCUGGGUCAGAAGCCAAUGACCUGGCCCUGAGGCUGGCCCGCCAGUACACGGGACAUUGGGACGUGGUGGUGUUAGACCAUGCUUAUCACGGUCACCUGAGCUCCCUGAUUGACAUCAGCCCCUACAAGUUCCGAGACCUGGAUGGCCAGAAGGAGUGGGUCCAUGUGGCACCUCUCCCAGACACCUACCGGGGUCUUUACCGGGAGGACCACCCCAAUCCGGCUGGGGCCUAUGCCAGCGAGGUGGAACGCGUGGUGAACAGCGUACAGGAAAAGGGCAGGAAGAUUGCAGCGUUCUUUGCAGAGUCUCUGCCCAGCGUGGGAGGACAGAUCAUCCCCCCUGCCGGCUUCUUCCAGGAAGUGGCAGAGCACAUCCACAGGGCCGGAGGGGUCUUUGUCGCAGACGAGAUUCAAGUGGGCUUUGGCCGAGUGGGCCAGCACUUCUGGGCCUUCCAACUGCAAGGAGAAGACUUCGUCCCUGACAUUGUCACCAUGGGCAAGUCCAUCGGCAAUGGCCACCCCGUAGCCUGUGUGGCCACAACCCAAGCUGUGGCAAGGGCAUUUGAAGCCACCGGCGUCGAAUACUUCAACACGUUUGGAGGCAGCCCGGUGUCCUGCGCCGUGGGCCUGGCCGUCCUGGACGUCCUAGAGAAGGAACAGCUGCAGGCCCACGCCGCCUCCGUGGGCAGCUUCCUGACGGAGCUCCUCAGACAGCAGAAAGCCAAACAUCCCAUCAUCGGGGACGUCAGGGGCACUGGGCUCUUCAUCGGUGUGGACCUGAUCAAAGACGAGGCAACCAGGACACCAGCAACUGAAGAGGCCAAUUACGUGGUGUCCAGGAUGAAGGAGAACUACAUUUUGCUGAGCACUGAUGGCCCAGGGAGGAACGUCCUCAAGUUUAAACCCCCGAUGUGCUUCAGUGUGGACAAUGCACGACAUGUGGUGGCCAAGAUGGAUGCCAUCCUGACAAGUAAGCUGGGAGCCCAAGGAGGGUCUCUAGAGCUCAACCUGCAGCCAAUAGCCAGGACAUUCCAGCCUGCCCAGGAAAGGGGCUCAACAGCAAGCCAGGAGUCUUUGAAGAGACAGAGGGAACAAGGAGCUGAGGUGUGGAGGGGUCCCGGGAACCCAAGCCACCCCUUUCCCUGGCUGUGCCUAGAGGGCCUUCCUGAGCACCAAGUAGGCAGGAACUAGGGCACUCACCAUCCUGCCAGGGUGGCACUCAUGCAGACACGGGACAAGCCAACUACAACGGAAAACCCCACCAUGGAUCAGUAAAACCAUGGAAAGGUAGAUGGCAGGAACUUCAUGCCUUACUUGAAGGCUAGGGGACCCUCAGCUGCAGAGCUAUUGGAAUGAGAUUUGUAGCCAGGACUGAUUAAACGCAAAAGGAGAUUCCUCUCCACAUUCUCAAUCCCACAGGAACAUCAAGGUCAGUCCAGGGUGUCCCCUAAGUGCACUUACAAAGCAAUCUAGAAUGCACUAAGGCAGUGCUGCGUGUGUAGGGCUGGGAGGAGCAGGAGUGGGCAAAGUAGGCAAGAUCCCAUCUCCUGGUAGACAUGAAAGCAGCCCCGCAGGUGGCCCCUCACCUCCCCCAGCAGACACAACUGGAGGUGGUGUGGGACCCGCCGUAGGGAGUGUAUUCGUGGGGAGCCCAGGGGGAAGAGAGGCUGACUAGCUAGCUUAGCUUUUGUGUGUAGGGGGCGCUGCAGUUGAGCCUGAAGUCUCAGGAAACAUGGCUUGGUGGCCCAUGCACAUGGGGCAAGGGGCCAGACAGGCUGGUGGGCUCGAUGUCCAGAAUAUCAACCAAGAAGCUUGGACACUAGAGAAAGGUUAACUUGUUUGGGUGCCUUUGUGAUGUUUUUCAGGCAUGGAAGAAAAGGUGAGAAGUUGUGAGACACUGCGACUCCAGCCCUGAGGCAGCCCUGUGGAGUGGUGUUCUUCUCUGGAAGAAACGAAGCAUCCCACUCAAAUACACUGAGGUGGUGACCUUCAGCUUGGAGGAUGAAAACCACUGAAGCUCAGGACAAGGCUUCCCUGAGGCCCUACGGCUCCACCCCCACCUUCCCCCAACCACUGGCCUAUUGUCAAGAAGGGCCAGGAAUCUGUGUCCCCUUAGGACGCAAAGAAUCCUUUUUUUUGCUCAAAAAUUUGCCCACUGUGUGUGCUAUGAGAGUCCAGGACCUCCCAGUGCUCCUAAUUAAAUCAGGAGUUUACUUUUUAAAUACCUGGGCACAUAUACCUCCCUAAUUAGGACCAAGGAAAAAAAACACAUAAUGUGUCACCAUACAAGCAUACUCUCCCUCAAAACUCAAAAAAAUUAACAAGCUUCCUCCUCAAAUGAUGCCAUCUGAUGAUGUCUUCUGUUGAAUUAAAAUGCCAAAUACAUUUAUUUCAAAACCCA
Acinonyx jubatus (cheetah) is the source of this 3186-nucleotide RNA transcript. It is a transcript of the gene named 5-phosphohydroxy-L-lysine phospho-lyase, with no coding region annotated. The record is from RefSeq and is a predicted model, not a curated record. The transcript has 11 exons. Lineage: Eukaryota; Metazoa; Chordata; Mammalia; Carnivora; Felidae.